This is a long non-coding RNA of Ficedula albicollis (Collared flycatcher), 2014 nucleotides long. The record is from Ensembl. NCBI's taxonomy places the organism in Eukaryota, Metazoa, Chordata, Aves, Passeriformes, Muscicapidae.
UGUUAACAUCCAGCCCUUUCUCCCCUCCCCUUAAAGACUAAAUCUUGCCUGGAUCCGCUCAGGUCUGCGGGAAGAAAAGCUGAGAAUGGACAAAGAUUGUAACAUGAGUGGGACUUCGACUGGGAGGAAGGAAACAAAAGAAAAGCAAAAAAACAGAUGGACUAUGAGAGACUUGAUUUUGGUGCUAAAAGUUCCCCAUGUACACAUGUGACAUCUUAAAACAAAUAAAGAAAUAGAGGGGUGGGGCCAACAGAAGUCAUUCCACACACACAAGUUCGUGUAAACAACGUUCGAGUAGACAUAGCUUUAAUGGUUUUGCUCUAGAGUACUUUAGACCUAUCUUAGAGCACUCACGCCAAGCUUUUUAUUAUUUUUUUCUGGGUUUUUAAUUUUGUAUAACUUUUCAGAAAUUGGAGAGCAAAUUUUGCUUGUCACUGCACAACAAUAUAAAAAGCUUAUUUAACUUAUCAAAACGUAUUUAUUGCCAAAACCUUUGCUUUUUAAUUUUGUUCAUAUUUAUCGGGAUGAUGAAUCCAUAGAAUAUAUUCUUUUAUGUUUAAAUUAUGAUCUUCCAUAUUAAUCUUAAGAUUGUGAAGUGUCUUUUUUCCUUUUUUCCCCACAGUUUAAUAUAUUAUACUACAAUGACAUUUUUUGUAACUUUACACUUUUUUUGGUUAUUUUAUUUUAAAAAAUGAAAAAUUAAUUUAAAAAAAAAUGCAAAAACUGUGUUUGGAUUAUUUAUUUUAGAACUCCCUCCCCCUUUUUUUGUGUUGGACUGCAAAUGGAGUUGUUGUGCAUCUUUGCCUUUUCUCUUCUCCUUCCCUUCUCCUCUCCCGGGUCUUGCCUACCUGGGCUUUAGAAUGUACAUACCUGAGCUCUGUUGCGAGACAACGUGGAAGGAAGACUUUUUCUUCCUCUAAUUGUAUAGAUUCUUCAAGGAGAAAAGCCUUGGGCUCAAAGUGCCUAUCUGAAGACAUUCCAAAUACAGUUUGUCUUUGCAUUUCUGUAUUCCAAGUUUGGAGUUUUCCUUGCCAAGGUGAAUGGGACUGGCACAAAGAGAAUAAUGAAUGUAAUUUUUUUUCCCCCUGUUACUGUUCGCUACACUGCUUUUUCUUCCUCUUUGUGUGAGUUUAUUUAAAAGAGAAUCUCUUUUGUAAUGACUGUUUGCAGUUUAAAUCAAUAAACCCCAAGUUUUUUCAAGAAACUGACAGUGGAGCUGGUUUUACUUGCAAAAAUUGAGGGGCUGGUUUUAGACAACCCCACAAAUGCAGGUGCUUCCCUUCUCUUGACCCUUGCAGUGCCCGCAGUGUGCCCAGGCAUCCCUCCCUGGUUCCUCAGUGAGUCAGCCCUGCAAGUGCUUGGGAGCAGAUCAGUGGCAGCAAAUAGCUGAUGUGACCUACCCCGGUGGCCUCUAACCACCUCUGUCUCUUACGGAGUGCUUGAGUCAGUCUGUUCCUGACAAGUUCUUUCUGAUGAGCAUGCCUUAAACCUGGGAUUGGCUUUUGUUGCUUGUGUGCCUUGUGUGCUCCUGCAUAGCUUCUUGCCCUCCAAGGAGGGCUUAUGUGUGUUUUGAGUGAGGAUGAAGUGGGAUAUUGAAGCCAUACGGAAGGGAUAUUAGAGAUACUCCAAAUGUCAGUCCUGGCUUGUUAGUGGUACUUGCCUGCUUGCACAGAGGGGCUGUUUGGUGCUUUGUGGGGAAGAGGGAACAUAAACCCUCAGCAAAGGCUCAGGUGUAUGCACACAUCACCCCACUAUCAAGUUUAAGCCCUUGUACAUCUUGAAGUAUCAGCAAUCCCAGAAACUUCUCAGGCCAUUGCUUUUGGAUUAUCCUUGCCAGCACUGCUCAUGGUGUUAAGCCUUGUGUUUUCACCUGUGAGCUCUCCUAUGGAGCAAGCUUUUGCUUCCAAACUGAGUCUGAAAUGUUGCUGCUGAACCACCAAUCCUUCAGCUGUCUUAACAUGCCUCAAUGUUCAGAUUUCCUAAUGUGUUUUGGAAAAGUUCCUGCCAAACAAAA